AAGAACAAAAGAAACAAGAGGAAAAAAAGAGAGAAGAAAAUCGGCCAAAGGGGGGAAAAAAUUGAUCCUUGAAAUCUUGCUCCCAAAAAUAUUUUCAUUCUAGUAUUCCCACUAAUUUAAGGGUCCUCUAUAACAUGGUGGAGUUAUUUUGGAAGAUUGGAGGCUUGUUUAAUUGAUUUUGGAGUGAAGAAGUUAGAAGAAAAAAGAUUUUGGAGAAAACGAAAAUUGAAUUUGGACAAGCAUAAAAGGCCAAUAAGAUUGUUGGCCAGUUAAAGUCUCUUACGUUCAAAAGGUGAAAAUUGCCAAGAUGAGAAUGUUGAGAUGGAUGUGUGGGCAUACCAGAAGCGACAAGAUUAGAAAUGAGGCUAUUUGGGACAAGGCAGGAGUGACCUCGGUGGAAGACAAGAUGCAGGAAGUGCAACUGAGAUGGUUUGGGCAUGUGAAGAGGAGAGACACAAAUGCCCCAGUGCGGAGGUGCGAGAUGUUGGCCAUGGAUGGUUUCAGAAGAGGUAGGGGUAGGCCGAAGAAAUAUUGGGGAGAGGUGAUUAGACAGGACAUGACGCAGUUACAACUUACCAAGGACAUGACCUUAGAUAGGAGGGUGUUGAGGACCUAUAUUAGGAUAGAAGGCUAGUACAAAGUCUCGUUAUUUCUCCUUAUUAGUAGGCGCAUUAGAGCACUAUAAUUUCUUGUACUCUGCUUUUUGUUAAUAUACUACUCUCUGUACUUUGAUUACUCUAUUUUAUCUGUGUCGCUUUCGUUA
Molecule: long non-coding RNA, 763 nt
Organism: Solanum dulcamara
Lineage: Eukaryota; Viridiplantae; Streptophyta; Magnoliopsida; Solanales; Solanaceae
Exons: 3
Source: RefSeq, a predicted model, not a curated record